CGCCGUCGCUGCUGCCACCGAGUGAGCGACUUGACGCCGGCCUGUCAAGUCGCCCGAUCGUUCCCGGACGAUCUCGCGGAGCACGCGAAAAAAAAAAUUUCGCAAUGAUGGUUACGUGAGACGUCUCGCUGCCGCCGCCGCCGCCGCCACAGCACACAAUUUUGCUGGCGCUCGCGUCGGUAGCGUUGGUCGUCUCCGUAGUCGGCGCGACAUUAACGCCCAGAGCACCGAACUUUCAAUACUUCGAAAGACCUAAGUAUAGAUAUCCGUAUUAUGAUGAACAUGGCCGCGGUCGGCUCUUGUACGGUUACGGUGGACCGGACUUGUAUCAAUACAAGUCCUACUCGCCGUUGGAGGGCAUUCAUUGAGAACUGCAAUGAAUUAACUUACCAUCACCGCGCCGUCACCGUCUCAGCCAUCACCAUGGCACCGUGAUGGCGGUCUUUUCAUUUCACCCGCCGUUCAGACGUGUCCCAGUAGUUUUCGGUGUUUUAACAUUAAGCGUGUAAUUUUUGUAAACCUACAAAUACACAAUAUCAUUAGACAAAGAAUAGUAUUUUUUUAAAUUAAAUUUAAAAAAAAAACAAACUAAAAAAAAUCCUUUUAAAUUUAAUUUAAUAAUAAUAAUAAUAAUAAUAAUAAUAAUGUUGGAUUAUAUAAAAUUAGAAUAUAACUAAGAGAAAUCCUCUGAUGAGGCUCGCUGGUGGUUCGAAUGUUACCAAAAACUGACAGCAGACACGUUUGCAUUCUUUUACGAGUUUAAUAUAAAUGUUUAAAAAAUUCGAUGAAGGGCUUUUAAAAAAAAAAAAAUACAAAGACCAAUAUCGAUUCUCGAAAUUCGUAAACGAAUAGCCUAAUAGAAAAAAUAACGGUCUGCCGUCCGGUUGUAUCUUAAUAAGUAGAAUCGUAUAUUAUGUUAAAUUUUAAGCAAAAUAAAUAAAACGACGAUAAUCGUAAA
RNA transcript from Rhopalosiphum maidis (corn leaf aphid), 958 nucleotides. RefSeq lists it as uncharacterized. NCBI's taxonomy places the organism in Eukaryota, Metazoa, Arthropoda, Insecta, Hemiptera, Aphididae. The transcript has 3 exons. The record is from RefSeq and is a predicted model, not a curated record.